RNAcentral lists this long non-coding RNA (1113 nucleotides) under Apteryx haastii (Great spotted kiwi). RNAcentral's name for it is "lncRNA (ENSAHAG00000012451.1)". The record is from RNAcentral. Lineage: Eukaryota; Metazoa; Chordata; Aves; Apterygiformes; Apterygidae.
AUGAAAAAAGCCUUUUGUAAGGGGCCACCAAUACUAACAGCACACGUGUGUAAUUUUUAUGACAGCUUGUCUCCCCUCUCUGCUGUAAAACAUGAAUUAGGUGUUUCGGGGCGUUUCUUUCACGACAGCAGGGUGCCCAGCAGCGUUUCUCAGCCCGUGCUGGGGGCCGGGGGCGGGAAGCGGAAGGCUCCCGCUCCCGUUCGGCUCUGUUCGCUAUUCAGGUCACAAGAAGAACCGAUUUCUUUUGUAUCAAAGGGAGAUUUUUUUUUUUUUUUUUUGGUUCCCCCCCUGCUUUCUGCAAGUUUAGGAAUGUCUCCGCAGCACCCCCAGGGGAGAGCACGGCCAUUUCAGCGCCGGGGCAGCGAUAACGGCCGCCGCGGGGCUAUCAGGCUGACCAGAAACUUUUCCGGGAGCUAUCUAGUAAAACACAUGACGGUCCCCCCCCCGGCCUGGAUGCUGAUACGUGACGGGCAUUCACAGCGCACCGCGCAACAGUCAGUUGACUUUGUUAUUCAAACUAUUUUAGCGAUGGUUUUUAAUCCCAGGCUUAAGUUUUUCUUUUUCUUUCUUUCUUUUCCUUUUUUAUUUCCCCCCCUCUUUCUGAACAAGGGAAUCUCUACGCUGGCAGGAUUUAGAGAGGCACAAAGGAGGGAAAAACAAGUUUCAGCCAGAAGGGGGAAAGAAAAAGAAAGAAAAAAACAAAAAAGGAUGCUGUUAGCAUUCCCUGUGUGUGAGGGGGGUAAAACCCAUUUUGCUGUGAACUUUGUUUUGAAGGGUAAGUGCCAACAGCAGCCCAGUUGCUAUGCAAAUAAACACCGUACUCGGUCUUUGCCUCUCGGCUCUCAUUUUGGGUUUUGGCCUCCUGUGGGGGGGGGAGGGAUUCGGGCCGGGGUGCUUGGCACGGGGCAGCACGGCAGGCCCCCGCGGGCUGGGGUUUUGGCCGGGCGCGAGGCGGGCGGCGUGGCGGGGCUGCCGGCUGUGGCAGGAAGCAGCCGGGCUGCCCGCGUGGCCUUGCGAGAUAAAGCGCGCGGCCGCGCCGAGGCCUCUGCCGCCGCUCCCCUCCCCUCCUCCCCGCCCCCGGCCCGUUAUCCCCAGCUAAAAACGUCGCUGUGA